RNAcentral lists this ribosomal RNA (1429 nucleotides) under Haemophilus influenzae. Its description in RNAcentral is "bacterial LSU rRNA". It matches the Rfam family "Bacterial large subunit ribosomal RNA", at positions 920 to 2332 of the family's 2925-position model. The record is from RNAcentral. Lineage: Bacteria; Pseudomonadati; Pseudomonadota; Gammaproteobacteria; Pasteurellales; Pasteurellaceae.
UAGGGGUCCAUCCCGGAUUACCAACCCGAUGCAAACUACGAAUACCAAAGAGUGAUACUCAGGAGACACACGGCGGGUGCUAACGUUCGUCGUGGAGAGGGAAACAACCCAGACCGCCAGCUAAGGUCCCAAAGUCUAUAUUAAGUGGGAAACGAAGUGGGAAGGCUUAGACAGCUAGGAUGUUGGCUUAGAAGCAGCCAUCAUUUAAAGAAAGCGUAAUAGCUCACUAGUCGAGUCGGCCUGCGCGGAAGAUGUAACGGGGCUGAAAUAUAGCACCGAAGCUGCGGCAUCAGACGAAAGUCUGUUGGGUAGGGGAGCGUUGUGUAAGCGGAUGAAGGUUAAUCGAGAGGUUAGCUGGACGUAUCACAAGUGCGAAUGCUGACAUAAGUAACGAUAAAACGAGUGAAAAACUCGUUCGCCGGAAGACCAAGGGUUCCUGUCCAACGUUAAUCGGGGCAGGGUGAGUCGGCCCCUAAGGCGAGGCUGAAAAGCGUAGUCGAUGGGAAACAGGUUAAUAUUCCUGUACUUGGUAAAGCUGCGAUGUGGGGACGGAGUAGGUUAGGUUAGCGUGCUGUUGGAUAUGCACGUUUAAGUUGGUAGGUGGGAAGUUUAGGCAAAUCCGGACUUCCUUAACACUGAGAGAUGAUGACGAGGCUCUACGGAGCUGAAGUAACUGAUACCACACUUCCAGGAAAAGCCACUAAGCGACAGGUUUUACUAAACCGUACUGAAAACCGACACAGGUGGUCAGGUAGAGAAUACUCAGGCGCUUGAGAGAACUCGGGUGAAGGAACUAGGCAAAAUAGCACCGUAACUUCGGGAGAAGGUGCGCCGGCGUAGAUUGUAAGGGCUAGCCCCUGAAGGUUGAACCGGUCGAAGAUACCAGCUGGCUGCAACUGUUUAUUAAAAACACAGCACUCUGCAAACACGAAAGUGGAGGUAUAGGGUGUGAUGCCUGCCCGGUGCUGGAAGGUUAAUUGAUGGUGUAAUCGAAAGAGAAGCACCUGAUCGAAGCCCCAGUAAACGGCGGCCGUAACUAUAACGGUCCUAAGGUAGCGAAAUUCCUUGUCGGGUAAGUUCCGACCUGCACGAAUGGCAUAAUGAUGGCCAGGCUGUCUCCACCCGAGACUCAGUGAAAUUGAAAUCGCCGUGAAGAUGCGGUGUACCCGCGGCUAGACGGAAAGACCCCGUGAACCUUUACUAUAGCUUGACACUGAACAUUGAAUUUUGAUGUGUAGGAUAGGUGGGAGACUAAGAAGUAGGAACGCCAGUUUCUAUGGAGUCAUCCUUGAAAUACCACCCUUUAACGUUUGAUGUUCUAACGAAGAUUACGAAACGUGGUCUCGGACAGUGUCUGGUGGGUAGUUUGACUGGGGCGGUCUCCUCCCAAAGCGUAACGGAGGAGCACGAAGGUUUGCUAAUCACGGUC